This 466-nucleotide long non-coding RNA is filed under the name Balaenoptera musculus (blue whale). RNAcentral describes it as "lncRNA (ENSBMSG00010010421.1)". The record is from RNAcentral. Lineage: Eukaryota; Metazoa; Chordata; Mammalia; Artiodactyla; Balaenopteridae.
GGGAAAGUUUGUUUAUUUUGUUUUUAGUUUCUGGGGUCCCCGUGUUUCUCGGAGGUGAAGCGGGAGGGAGUGACCCCCCCCGAGCCCCUCAGUCCCUCUACUACGUCGCCUCCAUAGCCUGCAGAGAAGCGGGGACCGCGCGCAUCGCGGCGCAUCGCCUCACAGCGGAACGCCGCGCACUCGGAGCCGGCACGGCUCAGUGGCAGUAUUUGUGUGUUUCUGCAGAGUUUUGCACAGAGUCUGUUCCCAUGCAGACCAAUGAGGGAGAAGUAUCGGAAGAAAGCAGUUCCAAGGGAUGGAGAAUGGAUGGAAAUAUGGCUGAAACAAGAAUGACAGAAUGUUGGGCUUCCCUGGUGGCACAGUGGUUGAGAAUCUGCCUGCUAAUGCAGGGGACACGGGUUCGAGCCCUGGUCUGGGAAGAUCCCACAUGCCGCGGAGCAACUAGGCCCGAGAGCCACAACUGCUG